This 329-nucleotide ribosomal RNA is filed under the name uncultured eukaryote. RNAcentral describes it as "partial 18S ribosomal RNA". It matches the Rfam family "Eukaryotic small subunit ribosomal RNA", at positions 1470 to 1796 of the family's 1831-position model. The record is from RNAcentral.
CCCUUAGAUGUCCUGGGCCGCACGCGCGCUACACUGAGUGUCUGAGAUACGAGUCUGCCUGGUCCGGCAAGGUCUAGGUAAUCGCUAAAAGACACAUCAUGCUUGGGAUAGAUUAUUGCAAAUAUUAAUCUUGAACGAGGAAUUCCUAGUAAGCGUAAGUCAACAGCUUGCGUUGAUUACGUCCCUGCCCUUUGUACACACCGCCCGUCGCUACUACUGAUUGGAUGUUUAAGCGAGGUUCUCGAACUGCUAGCGACUUAGCUUCGGUGAGGUCGCAGUGUGGGAAGUGAACCUAACUUUGGUGUCUAGAGGAAGUAAAAGUCGUAACA